This is a long non-coding RNA of Trachemys scripta elegans, 871 nucleotides long. RefSeq lists it as uncharacterized. The record is from RefSeq and is a predicted model, not a curated record. Lineage: Eukaryota; Metazoa; Chordata; Testudines; Emydidae. The transcript is spliced from 3 exons.
AACUCAUAAUUUACUGUUCGUUAUUGUCCUAGUAAAAUAUGUGUGGCAACACAUUACGUAAAGCUACAGGAUUCUACUUAUGAUAUUACUAAAGACAUAUUCUGAGUCUGAGGAAGAGUCACAAGCCAGAUCCCCAGAGACAAAAGGUUAGCCAACAUCUCAGCCAAGUGUCAACAAAAUCUAAUGGACCACCACCUGGUAAAGUGGCCAUUCUUUGGCAGAAAAGAGGAUGUGGUCAAAAAUCUACAUCUUGACAAAAGAAACAGCUGGGGGUUCCUGUCCACACAGACUUUUGUCUCCUGAACCUCAGCUGAAAAUGAUUCUCGAAGAAGAGAAAGGACUAUAAGAAGAGAUAGAAGGCACCCCAAAAUAUUCCUCCCUUCUCUCUACCCAAGGUUUCCACAACACCUGAAGAACAAAGGAAAAAGCUUUGGACUGGGGGAAGGAUCCUGACUGAAAGAAUUCAGACGACUUACACCAGACCAGAAGUCACAUGGGAGGAUCUAAGCUGGGGACAAAACUCUACCCUCCUCCUCUCUGAACCAGCAGAAGCCUGGAAUAUUAUGGAGACUUUCUGUCUCCUGAACCCCAGCUGGAGAUGAUUCUCAAAGAAGAGGAAAAAGCAUACAAAUGGAGAACAGACACCCCAAGUUAUGUCUCCCUUCCUCUCUACUUACAGCAUCGACAACACUUGAAGGACAAAGGAAGCAUCAUUGGACUGAGGGAGAUAUCCUGUCUGAAAAGAAUUCAACCAGUAAUAUUGCUAGAACAUGUGAUGAGAAAGACUUUUGCUUUGAAUUCACUUUAGCUUGUAAAGUUAGGUGUUGUGUUUUACCUUUUAUUUCUUUGUAACCAGUUCUGACUUUUAUGC